CCUACGGGGGGCAGCAGUGGGGAAUAUUGGACAAUGGGGGGAACCCUGAUCCAGCCAUGCCGCGUGUGUGAAGAAGGCCCUCGGGUUGUAAAGCACUUUCAGUGAGGAAGAACGCCUGGUGGUUAAUACCCAUCAGGAAAGACAUCACUCACAGAAGAAGCACCGGCUAACUCCGUGCCAGCAGCCGCGGUAAUACGGAGGGUGCGAGCGUUAAUCGGAAUUACUGGGCGUAAAGCGCGCGUAGGUGGCUUGAUAAGCCGGUUGUGAAAGCCCCGGGCUCAACCUGGGAACGGCAUCCGGAACUGUCAAGCUAGAGUGCAGGAGAGGAAGGUAGAAUUCCCGGUGUAGCGGUGAAAUGCGUAGAGAUCGGGAGGAAUACCAGUGGCGAAGGCGGCCUUAUGGACUGAAACUGACACUGAGGUGCGAAAGCGUGGGUAGCAAACAGGAUUAGAUACCCGAGUAGUC
This 465-nucleotide ribosomal RNA is filed under the name Vreelandella stevensii. RNAcentral describes it as "partial 16S ribosomal RNA". It matches the Rfam family "Bacterial small subunit ribosomal RNA", at positions 338 to 795 of the family's 1533-position model. Lineage: Bacteria; Pseudomonadati; Pseudomonadota; Gammaproteobacteria; Oceanospirillales; Halomonadaceae. The record is from RNAcentral.